GGGCAGUGGGAGGAGACAAUUCAGAAAGAUGGGCAGGGCGCUGGUCACUAGGGAACUUGGGAGCAGGAACUGGAUGGAAUGGCCUGGGACAGACCAUGGGCAGAGAAGAGGACUGAGACCUGGGCCUGGAGCUCUGACAUCUAGGAGAGAAAGGGAUGAGGAAUAUUCCACUAAAAAGUCUGAGAAGGAGCAGCCCAUGAGCGCUGAGUCCAACGUCUGCCUGCAUAAGUGAGAAUGAAUAAUGAAUGGAUAAGUGGUGAAACUGAUUAGCUGAAGGUCAACCAGUGAAAAAGAUGAGACGCCUUUGCCCAGCCAAUAAACCAUUUUACCAGCCAACGUGGUCAGGUCUUGCUUUUAUGCUAAUGGUCACUGCGAUGCGGACAGGAGUCACCAACUUCAGGAAGAGGCAACUGCUCCCUAUUUUUUCAUCUGGAAAGGACUUAAGAGUUUGGCCCAAGUUGGCAUUAUGGUGCACCAGGGCCACCACCCCUGAAAUGAGGGCUGGGGGUGAUCCAAGGAGAGGACUCUCUACUUCCUACUGUGGGUUCUUGAGACUCCCCUCCUCACUCAACUUUUUAAUAAAAAUCUUUGCCAUCCACAGAGGUCUCAUUGGAACCUCUCUGAGGGACACGUGCGUAACAACCGAGCAUAUGUAACUGAUGGACCUUGGGGUCUGUACCACUCUGAGCAAGAGCUGCUUUGUCCAAAGCCUGGAUAUUUCCAUUUAGAAAAUAAAUCUGGCUUAAAAGAGGUUUCCACAUGACAGGAAAAAACACAAUCAGUUAAGAAGAGAUCUAGGAAUGUAACUGGGUGUCAAAGCCUUCUUGCAGAUGGAUGGAUUCCAGAUUUUUCUGCCUAUGCUCACACGGUAGGUCCUUCCCAUCUGGGAGACUUGGCAGCAGUGACAACAGAAGCCUUGUCCAGGAAGGGACUUCGGUUCACCUUUUACUUCCCUUCCUGUAUCUCUAGUCACUUUCUUGGACAACAUGUUUUGGAGCUACACAGCAAAAACUCUAAACUCCAAAAUCCCCACUAAAAAAAAUUACUUGCCUACGGGAACUGUAUGUACCAUACGAAGUAGAUAGUCUUUCCAUCCCCUCCUCCACGCAUUUCUUCCAAAACAGACAUCUAAAAAAUCCAGGAAGUCAACAAAGGAACAAAUAAACAAGCACAAACUGCCAGUAAAACCAGCCCAAACAAUAAAACAUCUCCCAGUCUCUAGCCCCCUGUAUUUGAAUAAACAUGUUAAAAAUAUAUUUG
Long non-coding RNA from Phyllostomus hastatus (greater spear-nosed bat), 1260 nucleotides. RefSeq lists it as uncharacterized. The transcript is spliced from 4 exons. The record is from RefSeq and is a predicted model, not a curated record. Lineage: Eukaryota; Metazoa; Chordata; Mammalia; Chiroptera; Phyllostomidae.